RNAcentral lists this non-coding RNA (30 nucleotides) under Rattus norvegicus (Norway rat). The record is from RNAcentral. Lineage: Eukaryota; Metazoa; Chordata; Mammalia; Rodentia; Muridae.
UAUUUUUUCUCUGGGAAUAGUUGGUUUUGA